AAUUUCAGAAUUUUAAAGUGCACAAAAGUAUUUUUAAACCAAUUAAAACAAAAAAUAAAAGAGAAUUUUCAAGAAAAAUAGAAAGUCAAGGAAAUAAAAUGUUGAAAAAUAAAAAUCAAAUGAAGAAAAAUAAAAGGGAAUUUUAGAAAUUAUUUUUGUAUUUUUUCCACUUAAAAUGAAAUUUCUAUUAAUUUUAAAAGAGAAUGCAAUUUAAAA
This 216-nucleotide long non-coding RNA is filed under the name Lathyrus oleraceus (garden pea). Its description in RNAcentral is "Pisum sativum (pea) long non-coding RNA (PSAT_LNC025129)". Lineage: Eukaryota; Viridiplantae; Streptophyta; Magnoliopsida; Fabales; Fabaceae. The record is from RNAcentral.